RNAcentral lists this ribosomal RNA (253 nucleotides) under uncultured bacterium. RNAcentral's name for it is "partial 16S ribosomal RNA". It matches the Rfam family "Bacterial small subunit ribosomal RNA", at positions 524 to 776 of the family's 1533-position model. The record is from RNAcentral.
GACGUAGGGUGCGAGCGUUGUCCGGAUUUAUUGGGCGUAAAGAGCUCGUAGGCGGCUCGUCGCGUCGACCGUGAAAACCCGCGGCUUAACCGCGGGCUUGCGGUUGAUACGGGCGGGCUAGAGUUCGGUAGGGGAGACUGGAAUUCCUGGUGUAGCGGUGGAAUGCGCAGAUAUCAGGAGGAACACCAAUGGCGAAGGCAGGUCUCUGGGCCACAACUGACGCUGAGGAGCGAAAGCGUGGGGAGCGAACAGG